CUGGAGCCAGCUGGGCAGCAGCGAGAGCCCGAGCUGUUCACCUCACAGAUAAAUAGGUGUAUUACGGAACCACCGAGAAACUUGGUUUACACCUCUGAGAAAAGGGAAUAAACACAGUGUCUCCUUCUAGUUUCCCGGGGAAGAUUAAGCUGGAUGAUGCUUGCGAAGGUCUUAACAGAGAGCCUCCCCAACGUCAGAGCGCCAAAUUAUCAUCUGCUAUAAUGGUUACCGUUUUGCUUCUGCCAUGGCGAGGGCUGUCAGACUUGGCAAAUGAAAAUACAAGACGCCCAGGGAAAUGAGAAUUUCAGGCAGACAACAAACAAUUUGCUCCUCUGGCACAUCCUAACGAUUCCACGAGACAAUGAUUUUACAAAGCUGCAUACACAAAUUUAGCUUGGCACCGAUAUCUGGCUGCACGGAACACUCAAGUUACAUGCUGGGUUUUGCUACAAAUCCUUUGCUCCACCAGAAGAAACUCAACGGUAUCCCUUAAAGAAAUAUUCAGCCUGCCUCUCCUGCUGAGAUUGGGGGGCAGGGGCGGGGGAGUGGCUGACUGUGUGCUAGACUUUGGGGGGCGAGAGGCCUGUCUUGGGAGAGGAGGCAGAGCUGCCAGCCUAUCUCUAACCAGACCUGGCUCCUGCGAGUUCAGCUUCCUGUCCUCUUGUUCAAAAGAGAAUUCAGCAGCAAAUGACACUGUGGAUCUGUCCCUGGCACCGGAUAUAGGACAUGUGUUUAAUUAAAGUUGAUGGUGGCUUGCCCUUCUUUCUCCUGUAGAUUAAUUAAUUAAUGUAUUUGUUGACUCCUUCAUGCAUUUAUUCAUUCCACAAAUACCGGCUGGGCUUCUCUUGGCCCCUGGGCACUGGUGUGUUCUGGGAAUAUCACAGCAAGCUGCAUGCUCUUCCAGCCCAUUCCUCCUGGAGGAGAUGGUAAUAACGAAGUCAUCCCUCUGAGGAAUACAGUAUGACAUACCAGGACAGUGUGACAGAGGACAGCAUCUGCAGGUUGCCUGUAGUCCUUGGCUGGCGGUCCUGUCUCCAUCUUCACAGCCGACAAUGUGGUCCACGCAGGGUCCAAGGUUCCGGUGGUGAGGCCUCUCAAGAAUGAAAGGUCCAAGUGGCCAGACCUGCCUGCUCCUCUACUUGGUUCCAGUAGGCUGAGCCCUCUGGCACUACUUCUGGGUCAUUCCUGGAAGCUGCAAUACCCAUCUUUGCUGACACAUGGGAUAUCUCCAUACGCUUAGGCAUCAGCGAAGGUCUACACCAUCCCUGCCUGGCUAAGGAGGACUUCUGGAAAAGCAUGGGUCUCAGAGGUGCUGACACGGGAGGAUUUCAGAGAUGCACCUGAAGGGCAAGGGUCAAGUGAGUGCUUUCCAAAGGUCUUUUGAUGAAGCAAGAUUUGUUCCCACAUUUCAAAUUGGAGAUGGAAGAGCACGGAUGAAUAGCAACAACGUAAGAGCCCUGUGUUUAUUCUGGGCACAGUCCUGGCCGCUUUCUUGUUAACAUCAAAGUUAACUUCUGUGAUAGUUAAUUGACUGUGUCCACUUGACUAAAAAACACCCAGCUAAAUUGGAUUGGCAUAGUUCUGCAUGUGGCUGAAGGGAUCUACUGAAGACUGAAGACCCAGCCUGGGUGGGCUUGCUGCCUGAAUGGAAUAAAGGGAAAGCAAGAAGGAAGACUCGCUUUUGUUUCUUCCGAGGAGCUCCAGUCUUUCCCUUCAGCUUGGACGUCAUCUCCUGGCUUCCAGUGCAGACCCCUCGGCCUCCAGUGCAGAGCCUUCAGCCUCCUGAUACGGACUCACACCAUGGGACACUACAGUGAGCUCCAGGCCUUCGCCCUUCGAUGGAUCCUUAGGGUCUCCAGCACACAGACAGCUCUUUCGCACUCUUCCACACCUGGCUCUGUGGGUAGCCACUGUAAACCAAUCUUGUAAAUCCUUGUAUUUAUAGAUCUUGCAUUAAAUCCAUUUUUCCAGUGAGCACUGA
Non-coding RNA from Heterocephalus glaber (naked mole-rat), 1981 nucleotides. The record is from RefSeq and is a predicted model, not a curated record. Lineage: Eukaryota; Metazoa; Chordata; Mammalia; Rodentia; Bathyergidae.